AGCGAACGCUGGCGGCAGGCCUAACACAUGCAAGUCGAGCGGGCAUCGCAAGAUGUCAGCGGCAGACGGGAGAGUAACACGUGGGAACAUGCCCUUCGGUUCGGAAUAACCCAGGGAAACUUGGACUAAUACCGAAUACGUCCGUAAGGAGAAAGAUUUAUCGCCGAAGGAUUGGCCCGCGUCCGAUUAGCUAGUUGGUGAGGUAACGGCUCACCAAGGCGACGAUCGGUAGCUGGUCUGAGAGGAUGAUCAGCCUCACUGGGACUGAGA
This 270-nucleotide ribosomal RNA is filed under the name uncultured bacterium. Its description in RNAcentral is "partial 16S ribosomal RNA". It matches the Rfam family "Bacterial small subunit ribosomal RNA", at positions 29 to 324 of the family's 1533-position model. The record is from RNAcentral.